RNAcentral lists this transfer RNA (72 nucleotides) under Botrytis cinerea T4. RNAcentral's name for it is "tRNA-Pro (CGG) (tRNA-Pro-CGG-1-1)". It matches the Rfam family "tRNA". From Rfam's summary of the family: Transfer RNA (tRNA) molecules are approximately 80 nucleotides in length. Lineage: Eukaryota; Fungi; Ascomycota; Leotiomycetes; Helotiales; Sclerotiniaceae. The record is from RNAcentral. RNAcentral also lists the same sequence under 1 other name.
GGCCGAAUGGUCCAGUGGUAGGAUUGUUGUUUCGGGUAUGACAGAUCCCGGGUUCGAACCCCGGUUCGGCCC